UGGCUUUGACAGCCUAGAUACUAAAAUUAGAACAGUACAAAGAUUAUCUUGGUUCUUGCACCAAGAUGAUAUGCAAAUUCAUGAGACAUCCCAUAUUUUU
Molecule: small nuclear RNA, 100 nt
Filed under: Microcebus murinus (gray mouse lemur)
Lineage: Eukaryota; Metazoa; Chordata; Mammalia; Primates; Cheirogaleidae
Source: RNAcentral